This 405-nucleotide ribosomal RNA is filed under the name uncultured bacterium. RNAcentral describes it as "partial 16S ribosomal RNA". It matches the Rfam family "Bacterial small subunit ribosomal RNA", at positions 30 to 526 of the family's 1533-position model. The record is from RNAcentral.
AUUGAACGCUGGCGGCAGGCUUAACACAUGCAAGUCGAACGCGUGGCGGACGGGUGAGUAAUGCUUGGGAAGCUCGCUUAUGGAGGGGGAUAACUACGGGAAACUGUAGCUAAUACCGCGUACCAUAGGAUGAGCCCAAUUGGGAUUAGGUAGUUGGUGAGGUAAACGCUCCCCAAGCCGACGAUCUAUAGCUGGUCUGCUAGGAUGACCAUCCACACGGGGACUGAGACACGGCCCAGCCGCCUACGGGAGGCGGCAGGGGGGAAUGUUGCGCGAUGGGGGCAACCUGACGCAGCCAUGCCGCGUGAAUGAAGAAGGCCUUCGGGUUGUAAAGUUCUUUCGGUAGCGAGGCGUUAACUACAGAAGAAGCACCGGGUAACGCCGAGCCAGCAGCCGCGGUAAUAC